UUGAAACUCGACGACAUUAGAAGACUGCAAGGUAUCCUUUAUGAGGCUCACUGCCUCUACCAGGGCAUCUUUUUUCUUGAAUUCAUCAACCAGAGCUACAACCCGUUUGAAGGGGGUUAUCGCAAGAAUAUCAACCCAUCCUUGGUUAUCCAUCUGGUUCCUCAAGAAGGUAUCCUUAGCCAGAUUCUCGUCACUGAAGUAGUAUUCAAUCUGGAAAAUGAGCCGCGUCUUCAAUGCUUCAAGCUCG
RNAcentral lists this unclassified non-coding RNA (247 nucleotides) under Hevea brasiliensis (rubber tree). Lineage: Eukaryota; Viridiplantae; Streptophyta; Magnoliopsida; Malpighiales; Euphorbiaceae. The record is from RNAcentral.